This 497-nucleotide ribosomal RNA is filed under the name uncultured bacterium. Its description in RNAcentral is "partial 16S ribosomal RNA". It matches the Rfam family "Bacterial small subunit ribosomal RNA", at positions 28 to 507 of the family's 1533-position model. The record is from RNAcentral.
GAUGAACGCUGGCGGCGUGCCUAAUACAUGCAAGUCGAGCGAACAGACGAGGAGCUUGCUCCUCUGACGUUAGCGGCGGACGGGUGAGUAACACGUGGAUAACCUACCUAUAAGACUGGGAUAACUUCGGGAAACCGGAGCUAAUACCGGAUGAUAUAUUGAACCGCAUGGUUCAAUAGUGAAAGACGGUCUUGCUGUCACUUAUAGAUGGAUCCGCGCUGCAUUAGCUAGUUGGUAAGGUAACGGCUUACCAAGGCAACGAUGCGUAGCCGACCUGAGAGGGUGAUCGGCCACACUGGAACUGAGACACGGUCCAGACUCCUACGGGAGGCAGCAGUAGGGAAUCUUCCGCAAUGGGCGAAAGCCUGACGGAGCAACGCCGCGUGAGUGAUGAAGGUCUUCGGAUCGUAAAACUCUGUUAUUAGGGAAGAACAAAUGUGUAAGUAACUAUGCACGUCUUGACGGUACCUAAUCAGAAAGCCACGGCUAACUACGUG